RNAcentral lists this long non-coding RNA (1164 nucleotides) under Coturnix japonica (Japanese quail). RNAcentral describes it as "lncRNA (ENSCJPG00005015523.1)". The record is from RNAcentral. Lineage: Eukaryota; Metazoa; Chordata; Aves; Galliformes; Phasianidae.
CUUUCAGCAGUGUAUCUGAAUUAAGAGUGCAAUGAAAUUCAAACCAGGUGUGGGAGGCUGCAUCACCAGUCACUUCCCUGCUGUUGCUGCUUUCCACAUCUGAUCUUAAUUUGAUCCUUUCGUUCUGUACCACUGUGCUAUAAAGUCACAGUUGGAUAUUUCAUGAGAAUCUCAGCAUUUGCCUUUCCUUUCCAACACUAGAAACAUUAAAAAUGAGGACAAAAACAAGAGGAAAAUAUUAACUCCAUGACAGAAAUAUUAUAAUUUUGUUCAACAGACAGACUUCAGAAAAUGGCUUGGAGAGAACAACAAUAUGGCCGCUGGCUUCUUUGAACAAAUAAGAUCCCUCCUGUGGAGUUGUGCAUCAUACUACCUUUCAGGCACUUGGACAUUUGUUGUGCCAUGCGACUUAAAGCAAACACCACUGCUGGGAGAAAAGAUAGCUGAAUCACCAGGGCACUAGCCUGCUUCUGCUCUUACUGAUAUUUGUACUUGUGAACUUGAUGAAUCUACUUCUUUCCAUUCUGACUAUGAAUCAUAAGCAAUAAUUUAGUUUAUAGGCAGUGUUUUCUUGUGCCAAAUCUAAAGUUUUUACAAUGAUCUCUUCUAGCUUCAUGAUGUCAUGUAAUUAUGUUAGCAGUAGCUGAGACACACCAGUUAUUAGACUGCUAAAGGAAGAAGGAAAAAUGUUCUCCUGUAACAUAUAUCAUAAUCUUGGGAUUCUUUCAGAAUUCCAGUCAGUUCUUGCUAUAAUCAGACUAACAAGUGUAGCAGCUCUCUUCUUAAGUAUUAUUUAAUUUUAAACUGCAGUCAACCAAGUGUUUUUUCUCAGUUCUCUUCUGUCUGUAGACUUACAGGUCUGUGCCUGAAGCUUUUCUUAUGAAGUUCCUUGCUCGGUAACACCACAUUAAAUCUAGUGCAACUGUACAACACCGUUAUAACUGAAAUGAGAAUAUACCUUCUAGUGUCAUGCAAUAUUAUUAAGUUUUAUGACUUUAGGGUUCUUUUUCCCAUGAAAAAUCCCUUUCUAAAGGGAAUCAAUGCAAUGAUAUUAGUUCAAAAAAGCAUUUGCAAUGUGAAGCAGUAGUCUAGUGGACAAUAGUAGCUUCACUGAAAUUCAUACGCUGUGAGACGCUACAAUUGAUGUACUGGAUUCUGAAGGGC